UAGUCCACGCCGUAAACGGUGUGCGCUUGGUGUGGGAGGAUUCGACCCCUUCUGUGCCGGAGCUAACGCGUUAAGCGCACCGCCUGGGAAGUACGGUCGCAAGAUUAAAACUCAAAGAAAUUGACGGGGACCCGCACAAGCGGUGGAGUAUGUGGCUUAAUUCGAUGCAACGCGAAGAACCUUACCUAGGCUUGACAUGCCGUCAUAGACUGUGAAAGCAGUUGUCAGUUCGGCUGGACGUGCACAGGUGCUGCAUGGCUGUCGUCAGCUCGUGUCGUGAGAUGUUCGGUUAAGUCCGGCAACGAGCGCAACCCCUGUGAAUAGUUGCUAACAUUUAGUUGAGGACUCUAUUCAGACUGCCCGGUUCAACCGGGAGGAAGGUGGGGACGACGUCAAGUCAGUAUGGCCCUUACGCCUAGGGCUGCACACGUACUACAAUGCCCAGUACAAUGAGAACCGAGACCGUGAGGUGGAGGAAAUCUAUAAAACUGGGCUCAGUUCGGAUUGG
This 508-nucleotide ribosomal RNA is filed under the name uncultured bacterium. RNAcentral's name for it is "bacterial SSU rRNA". It matches the Rfam family "Bacterial small subunit ribosomal RNA", at positions 791 to 1301 of the family's 1533-position model. The record is from RNAcentral.